GGGGUGCAGCAGGCGCGAAACCUCCGCAAUGUGAGAAAUCGCGACGGGGGGAUCCCAAGUGCCAUUCUUAACGGGAUGGCUUUUCAUUAGUGUAAAGAGCUUUUGGAAUAAGGGCUGGGCAAGACCGGUGCCAGCCGCCGCGGUAACACCGGCAGCUCUAGUGGUAGCAGUUUUUAUUGGGCCUAAAGCGUCCGUAGCCGGUUUAAUAAGUCUCUGGUGAAAUCCUGUAGCUUAACUGUGGGCAUUGCUGGAGAUACUAUUAGACUUGAGACCGGGAGAGGUUAGAGGUACUCCCAGGGUAGAGGUGAAAUUCUGUAAUCCUGGGAGGACCGCCUGUUGCGAAGGCGUCUAACUGGAACGGUUCUGACGGUGAGGGACGAAAGUUAGGGGCGCGAACCGGAUUAGAUACCCGGGUAGUCCUAACUGUAAACGAUGCGGACUUGGUGUUGGGGUGGCUUUGAGCUGUCUCAGUGCCGAAGGGAAGCUGUUAAGUCCGCCGCCUGGGAAGUACGGUCGCAAGACUGAAACUUAA
RNAcentral lists this ribosomal RNA (532 nucleotides) under uncultured archaeon. Its description in RNAcentral is "bacterial SSU rRNA". It matches the Rfam family "Archaeal small subunit ribosomal RNA", at positions 327 to 859 of the family's 1478-position model. The record is from RNAcentral.